UACAGAGGUCCCAAGCGUUGUUCGGAUUCAUUGGGCGUAAAGGGUGCGUAGGUGGCGCCGUAAGUGGGGUGUGAAAUUUCGGAGCUUAACUCCGAAACUGCAUUCCAUACUGCGGUGCUUGAGGACUGGAGAGGAGACUGGAAUUCAUGGUGUAGCAGUAAAAUGCGUAGAGAUCAUGAGGAAGACCAGUGGCGAAAGCGGCUUCCUGGACCAGAACUGACGAUCAGGCACGAAAGCGUGGGGAGCAAACAGG
Molecule: ribosomal RNA, 253 nt
Filed under: uncultured bacterium
Lineage: Bacteria
Description: partial 16S ribosomal RNA
Rfam family: Bacterial small subunit ribosomal RNA
Source: RNAcentral